GCUCUCUUAGGAUCUCACCUGGAGUGUUUCCAGUACUCUACCAGUUUUGGCUAUGGGAGGGAGAAUCAAGUAGAGGCAUACCCAUUCCAUUCCUAGCUUGGGGAGUAGCUAGCAAGUGGAAGGCAAUCUGCUACAAGU
Molecule: small nucleolar RNA, 138 nt
Organism: Ornithorhynchus anatinus (platypus)
Lineage: Eukaryota; Metazoa; Chordata; Mammalia; Monotremata; Ornithorhynchidae
Source: RefSeq, a predicted model, not a curated record